CCGCCCCCGCUGCGCAGGUGGCCGCUGAGCCCCACGCCGCGCCGGCCGGGGCGGACCUUGCGCCAGGGCGCUGCCCGCAGGGCUCCGGGGCCUGGAGGGAUGACAGGGCCAGCCCCGGGGUGUGCAAGGGAGGCACGCGCGCCUCUCCCGACUGCGGGAGACAGGAGAGGACUGGUCGCUGGAGUCCGUGACCCUCUGUCUUCUCCCAGGGCCACAGAGGUGGUGGAUGCUGUCAACCCUGGGUUUCUUCCUUGGUCCCAGAUGCUACCUGUGUGACAACAGAUGAAAACCCACAUGGCGGAGCUCUGGGGGGCACUUAGGAGUGCACAGUGCCGCCUGACGUUCCUCGUGAUUCAAACAUUAGCUGCUGUUGAUACGACUUCAGCACAGUGUAAGUUUCACAUCUCCACAGAGAAUGGUGCCAACCCCAAGAUCCACACCACUUGAGAGAGAAGAGCCUUUACCCUGAAGCUAUCACCCUGCAGUGAGGAAG
Molecule: non-coding RNA, 493 nt
Organism: Equus caballus (horse)
Lineage: Eukaryota; Metazoa; Chordata; Mammalia; Perissodactyla; Equidae
Source: RefSeq, a predicted model, not a curated record